GAUGAACGCUGGCGGCGUGCUUAACACAUGCAAGUCGAACGAUGAAGCCCAGCUUGCUGGGUGGAUUAGCGGCGAACGGGUGAGUAACACGUGAGUAACCUGCCCUUAACUCUGGGAUAAGCCUGGGAAACUGGGUCUAAUACCGGAUAGGAGCGUCCACCGCAUGGUGGGUGUUGGAAAGUUUUUUCGGUUGUGGAUGGACUCGCGGCCUAUCAGCUUGUUGGUGAGGUAAUGGCUCACCAAGGCGACGACGGGUAGCCGGCCUGAGAGGGUGACCGGCCACACUGGGACUGAGACACGGCCCAGACUCCUACGGGAGGCAGCAGUGGGGAAUAUUGCACAAUGGGCGCAAGCCUGAUGCAGCGACGCCGCGUGAGGGAUGACGGCCUUCGGGUUGUAAACCUCUUUCAGUAGGGAAGAAGCGAAAGUGACGGUACCUGCAGAAGAAGCACCGGCUAACUACGUG
This 466-nucleotide ribosomal RNA is filed under the name uncultured bacterium. RNAcentral's name for it is "partial 16S ribosomal RNA". It matches the Rfam family "Bacterial small subunit ribosomal RNA", at positions 28 to 507 of the family's 1533-position model. The record is from RNAcentral.